RNAcentral lists this long non-coding RNA (461 nucleotides) under Pan troglodytes (chimpanzee). Its description in RNAcentral is "lincRNA". The record is from RNAcentral. Lineage: Eukaryota; Metazoa; Chordata; Mammalia; Primates; Hominidae.
ACUAUGGCAUGUGAAAAGUAGCUUGAUUUGGGGUCACUGCUAUUCAGUGGAAAAUGUAACCUUGGGAUGGAUAAUGCGGCCCAAAUUUGAACUCUGAAAGACUAUUCACUGGAUUGGAACACCAAUAGAUACCAAUAAAUUAAAAGUAAUUGCUGUUUAUCCUUCAUCAAAAUUACCAUUAUUCUACAAGGUGGCCCUCCAGAGUUAGUGAACUGUGACCUCCACGUGGGAUUUGGACAUGCGUGCCCUACAUCUGGAAUGCAGAAACACUCUUCACAGAACUCUGAUAGCCCAGGAAUAUUUAUGUAAAUCUCUGUCCUGGUAAGGCACAUGUUGAUGUACUUGGGCUUAAGCUCAUAAACCAAGAGGAACAGUUUCCUACAUCUCCCUUCUAAUGACUAAAGCCAACGGGCUGAGCCAAAUGGGACAAUUUAGACAAAGAGAGACUGGCGAAAACCAAA